UUCAUUGGAACAUGGCGUCAUAGAGGGUGAGAAUCCCGUAUGWGACUGUGGAUCGAGCCCAUUUGAAGCCUCUUCGACGAGUCGAGUUGUUUGGGAAUGCAKCUCAAAAUGGGUGGUAAAUUUCAUCUAAAGCUAAAUACUGGCUGGAGACCGAUAGCGCACAAGUAGAGUGAUCGAAAGAUGAAAAGCACUUUGGAAAGAGAGUCAAAAGUACGUGAAAUUGUUGAAAGGGAAGCGCUUGCAACCAGACCUGUCCGUAGGUGAUCAGCCGCUGUUCUCAGUGGUGCACUCGCUCUGCGAUCAGGCCAGCAUCGGUUCGGGCGGUCGGAUAAAGGCCUUGGGAAUGUAGCUCCCUUCGGGGAGUCUUAUAGCCCUCGGUGCAAUGCGGCCAGCCGGGACCGAGGACCGCGCUUCGGCUAGGAUGCUGGCGUAAUGGUUGUAAGCGACCCGUCUUGAAACACGGACCAAGGAGUCUAACAUCUAUGCGAGUGUUUGGGUGUUAAACCCAUGCGCGGAAUGAAAGUGAACGGAGGUGAGAACCCUUAAGGGCGCAUCAUCGACCGAUCCAGAUGUCUUCGGAUGGAUUUGAGUAUGAGCAUAGCUGUUGGGACCCGAAAGAUGGUGAACUAUGCCUSAAUAGGGUGAAGCCAGAGGAAACUCUGGUGGAGGCUCGCAGCGGUUCUGACGUGCAAAUCGAUCGUCAAAUUUGGGUAUAGGGGCGAAAGACUAUCGAC
RNAcentral lists this ribosomal RNA (734 nucleotides) under Hypogymnia pulverata. Its description in RNAcentral is "partial large subunit ribosomal RNA". It matches the Rfam family "Eukaryotic large subunit ribosomal RNA", at positions 186 to 940 of the family's 3401-position model. The record is from RNAcentral. Lineage: Eukaryota; Fungi; Ascomycota; Lecanoromycetes; Lecanorales; Parmeliaceae.